This is a non-coding RNA of Equus caballus (horse), 177 nucleotides long. The record is from Rfam. NCBI's taxonomy places the organism in Eukaryota, Metazoa, Chordata, Mammalia, Perissodactyla, Equidae.
AGCCCUGCACAGGGGCAGAGUGGCAGCAGUGAGGCUGACCCGAGGCGCGAUUAUUGCUAAUUGAAAGCUUUUCCCAAAGGGCGAGGCUUCUUUUGUCAAUUCACAUAAAGGUUCCGUAUAGAGAAGAGAGGCCUGACUCUCCUGUUGUUGCUUCAACUUCUAAAGGCCAGUCAUGGC